This 253-nucleotide ribosomal RNA is filed under the name uncultured bacterium. Its description in RNAcentral is "partial 16S ribosomal RNA". It matches the Rfam family "Bacterial small subunit ribosomal RNA", at positions 524 to 776 of the family's 1533-position model. The record is from RNAcentral.
UACAGAGGGUGCGAGCGUUAAUCGGAAUUACUGGGCGUAAAGCGUGCGUAGACGGUUAUGUAAGUCGGGUGUGAAAGCCCCGGGCUCAACCUGGGAAUUGCAUUCGAGACUGCAUAGCUAGGGUACGGAAGAGGGAAGCGGAAUUUCCGGUGUAGCGGUGAGAUGCGUAGAUAUCGGAAGGAACACCAGUGGCGAAAGCGGCUUCCUGGUCCGACACCGACGUUCAGGCACGAAAGCGUGGGGAGCAAACAGG